GCAGGUAUAGUUUAAACCAAAACGUUAGAUUGUGAUUCUAAAAAUAGAAGUUAAAACCUUCUUGCCCGCC
Molecule: transfer RNA, 70 nt
Filed under: Sterrhoptilus dennistouni
Lineage: Eukaryota; Metazoa; Chordata; Aves; Passeriformes; Zosteropidae
Rfam family: tRNA
About the family: Transfer RNA (tRNA) molecules are approximately 80 nucleotides in length.
Source: Rfam by way of RNAcentral